GACGAACGCUGGCGGCGCGCUUAACACAUGCAAGUCGAACGGAAAGGCCUGCUUUCCCUUGUGGAUUGCGGGUACUCGAGUGGCGAACGGGUGAGUAACACGUGAGUGAUCUGCCCCCAACUUGGGUAUAAGCCUGGGAAACUGGGUCUAAUUCCCGAUAGGACUGCAGGGUGGUGCCUGUUGUGGAAAACGAUUUUCUAGUGGUUGGGUGUUAGCUCGCGGCCUAUCAGCUUGUUGGUGGGGUAAUGGCCUACCAAGGCGGCGACGGGUAGCCGGCCUGAGAGGGUGGACGGCCACAUUGGGACUGAGAGACGGCCCAGACUCCUACGGGAGGCAGCAGUGGGGAAGAGUGCACAAUGGGCGGAAGCCUGAGGCAGCGACGCCGCGUGGGGGAUGACGGCCUUCGGGUUGUAAACUCCUUUCGACCGCGAGGAAGCCACCUGGUUGGAAGGGUGGUGACGGUAGUGGUAGAAGAAGCACCGGCUAACUACGUG
This 494-nucleotide ribosomal RNA is filed under the name uncultured bacterium. RNAcentral's name for it is "partial 16S ribosomal RNA". It matches the Rfam family "Bacterial small subunit ribosomal RNA", at positions 28 to 507 of the family's 1533-position model. The record is from RNAcentral.